This 460-nucleotide ribosomal RNA is filed under the name uncultured bacterium. Its description in RNAcentral is "partial 16S ribosomal RNA". It matches the Rfam family "Bacterial small subunit ribosomal RNA", at positions 338 to 795 of the family's 1533-position model. The record is from RNAcentral.
CCUACGGGAGGCAGCAGUGAGGAAUCUUGGUCAAUGGACGAGAGUCUGAACCAGCCAAGUAGCGUGAAGGAUUACUGCCCUAUGGGUUGUAAACUUCUUUUAUAUGGGAAUAAAAUGUUCCACGUGUGGGAUUUUGUAUGUACCAUAUGGAUAAGGAUCGGCUAACUCCGUGCCAGCAGCCGCGGUAAUACGGAGGAUCCGAGCGUUAUCCGGAUUUAUUGGGUUUAAAGGGAGCGUAGGUGGAUUGUUAAGUCAGUUGUGAAAGUUUGCGGCUCAACCGUAAAACUGCAGUUGAAACUGGGAGUCUUGAGUACAGUAGAGGUGGGUGGAAUUCGUGGUGUAGCGGUGAAAUGCGUAGAUAUCACGAAGAACUCCGAUUGCGAAGGCAGCUCACUGGACUGCAACUGACACUGAGGCUCGAAAGUGUGGGUAUCAAACAGGAUUAGAUACCCCGGUAGUC